RNAcentral lists this ribosomal RNA (694 nucleotides) under uncultured bacterium. Its description in RNAcentral is "bacterial SSU rRNA". It matches the Rfam family "Bacterial small subunit ribosomal RNA", at positions 62 to 716 of the family's 1533-position model. The record is from RNAcentral.
UCGAGCGAGUCUGCCUUGAAGAUCGGAGUGCUUGCACUCUGUGAAACAAGAUACAGGCUAGCGGCGGACGGGUGAGUAACACGUGGGUAACCUGCCCAAGAGAUCGGGAUAACACCUGGAAACAGAUGCUAAUACCGGAUAACAACAGAUGAUGCCUAUCAACUGUUUAAAAGAUGGUUCUGCUAUCACUCUUGGAUGGACCUGCGGUGCAUUAGCUAGUUGGUAGGGUAACGGCCUACCAAGGCGAUGAUGCAUAGCCGAGUUGAGAGACUGAUCGGCCACAUUGGGACUGAGACACGGCCCAAACUCCUACGGGAGGCAGCAGUAGGGAAUCUUCCACAAUGGACGCAAGUCUGAUGGAGCAACGCCGCGUGAGUGAAGAAGGGUUUCGGCUCGUAAAGCUCUGUUGUUGGUGAAGAAGGACAGGGGUAGUAACUGACCUUUGUUUGACGGUAAUCAAUUAGAAAGUCACGGCUAACUACGUGCCAGCAGCCGCGGUAAUACGUAGGUGGCAAGCGUUGUCCGGAUUUAUUGGGCGUAAAGCGAGUGCAGGCGGCUCGAUAAGUCUGAUGUGAAAGCCUUCGGCUCAACCGGAGAAUUGCAUCAGAAACUGUCGAGCUUGAGUACAGAAGAGGAGAGUGGAACUCCAUGUGUAGCGGUGAAAUGCGUAGAUUUAUGGAAGAACACCGGUGGC